UUCGUUUUUUAAUUAAAAACUAGGAUGAAAGGUUAUACAUUCAAAUUUCUUUAUUAAUUUCUAAUUAAUAAUUUAUAUUAAAUAUAAAAAUAUACUUAUAAAAAAAAAAGACGACAAGACCCUAUUAAAUUUUACUUAUAGUUUAACUGGGGAAGUUUUUUAAUUAAAAUUUUUUAAAUUUAAUAAAUAAAAAUCUAAUAAAAUUAAAACUUUAACAAAUUACUAUAGGGAUAACAGCAUUAUAUUUUUUAAAAGUUCAUAUUAAAAAAAAUGAUUGUGACCUCGAUGUUGAAUUAUAUUUUCUAUAUUUAAUGCAAUAAUUAUAAAAGUAGAUCUGUUCGAUCUUUAAAAUAUUACAUGAUUUGAGUUCAAACCGGUGUAAACCAGGUUGGUUUCUAUCUUUUUAUAUAUUUUUCCAGUACGAAAGGACAAACAAAUUUUUAUUUUAAUAAAUUAGCAAAUAAAUGCAUUAGAUUUAGAAUCUAAAUAUAUUUAAUAAU
RNAcentral lists this unclassified non-coding RNA (500 nucleotides) under Anelosimus guacamayos. Its description in RNAcentral is "partial contains 16S ribosomal RNA and tRNA-Leu (trnL)". The stretch from base 105 to 404 matches the Rfam family "Bacterial large subunit ribosomal RNA", at positions 2074 to 2646 of the family's 2925-position model. The record is from RNAcentral. Lineage: Eukaryota; Metazoa; Arthropoda; Arachnida; Araneae; Theridiidae.